CAUAGUUGCUAGGAUUAGACCCGAAACCGAGUGAUCUAGCCAUGGGCAGGUUGAAGGUGAGGUAACACUUACUGGAGGACCGAACCGACUAAUGUUGAAAAAUUAGCGGAUGACUUGUGGCUAGGGGUGAAAGGCCAAUCAAACUCGGAGAUAGCUGGUUCUCCCCGAAAGCUAUUUAGGUAGCGCCUCGGACGAAUACUACUGGGGGUAGAGCACUGUUAAGGCUAGGGGGUCAUCCCGACUUACCAACCCUUUGCAAACUCCGAAUACCAGUAAGUACUAUCCGGGAGACACACGGCGGGUGCUAACGUCCGUCGUGAAGAGGGAAACAACCCAGACCGCCAGCUAAGGUCCCAAAGUUAUAGCUAAGUGGGAAACGAUGUGGGAAGGCUCAGACAGCCAGGAUGUUGGCUUAGAAGCAGCCAUCAUUUAAAGAAAGCGUAAUAGCUCACUGGUCGAGUCGGCCUGCGCGGAAGAUUUAACGGGGCUAAGCUAUACACCGAAGCUGCGGCAAUGUGCUUUUGCAUAUUGGGUAGGGGAGCGUUCUGUAAGCCGUUGAAGGUGUGCUGUAAGGCAUGCUGGAGGUAUCAGAAGUGCGAAUGCUGACAUGAGUAACGAUAAAGGGAGUGAAAAACUCCCUCGCCGGAAGAUCAAGGGUUCCUGUCCAACGUUAAUCGGGGCAGGGUAAGUCGACCCCUAAGGC
This 703-nucleotide ribosomal RNA is filed under the name Photobacterium leiognathi subsp. mandapamensis. Its description in RNAcentral is "bacterial LSU rRNA". It matches the Rfam family "Bacterial large subunit ribosomal RNA", at positions 695 to 1397 of the family's 2925-position model. The record is from RNAcentral. Lineage: Bacteria; Pseudomonadati; Pseudomonadota; Gammaproteobacteria; Vibrionales; Vibrionaceae.